Molecule: transfer RNA, 91 nt
Filed under: Heliobacterium chlorum
Lineage: Bacteria; Bacillati; Bacillota; Clostridia; Eubacteriales; Heliobacteriaceae
Description: tRNA-Thr
Rfam family: tRNA (bases 1-66)
About the family: Transfer RNA (tRNA) molecules are approximately 80 nucleotides in length. Their secondary structure includes four short double-helical elements and three loops (D, anti-codon, and T loops).
Source: RNAcentral
CGGCGUAGCUCAACUGGUAGAGCAACUGACUUGUAAUCAGUUGUUCCAACGUUCAUUACACCGAGACUAUACAUCUCUAGUCUGUCAUCCA